GGAAGCUGGGGUCUCAUAGGUUCUAUAGCAAUUUAUUGUAGAGUUCUAAGAGGAACAUCUUUGCAUAUGAAGACUGAGAAACACACUGAACAGCACUGGAAACUGUAAAUGGUUUUUGUAGAAGUUUUGAAAUUCCUCUUUGAUGUCUUCCUGUUUGGAAGAGCCUGAGUCACAGAGGCAAAAGCAGUUCCUGUUGGUGGAAAAUGGUGAAGCUGGAGUGGGCCUGGAAGAAGGAGCAGAAGUAGGUCAUGACUGUUGUGGCCUUGACAACACCACCAUAAGGGCCCCCCAUCUCUCCUUGAACUUGGUACACAUGUUCACAACUUGACACAAUAGUGCCAUACAGUUUGAAAGAGAUAAACAUACCAGGUGAUUAAAAAAGAACCAUGCAAAAAUUAAGAAAGAUUAAUUUUGCACCAUUCUUUUUUAAUCACCUGGUAAAACAUCUAUAGAAAACCUUUCUUAACCCACCACACUGGAAAUUUUUCAGCCAGACUGUAACAUCCAUUUUUAAGCAGGUUAGUCAAGUAUAUGAUG
Sceloporus undulatus (fence lizard) is the source of this 537-nucleotide long non-coding RNA. RefSeq lists it as uncharacterized. The transcript is spliced from 3 exons. The record is from RefSeq and is a predicted model, not a curated record. Lineage: Eukaryota; Metazoa; Chordata; Lepidosauria; Squamata; Phrynosomatidae.